GACGAACGCUGGCGGCGUGCCUAAUACAUGCAAGUAGAACGCUGAAGGAGGAGCUUGCUUCUCCGGAUGAGUUGCGAACGGGUGAGUAACGCGUAGGUAACCUGCCUGGUAGCGGGGGAUAACUAUUGGAAACGAUAGCUAAUACCGCAUAAGAGUAGAUGUCGCAUGACAUUUGCUUAAAAGGUGCAACUGCACCACUACCAGAUGGACCUGCGUUGUAUUAGCUAGUUGGUGAGGUAACGGCUCACCAAGGCAACGAUACAUAGCCGACCUGAGAGGGUGAUCGGCCACACUGGGACUGAGACACGGCCCAGACUCCUACGGGAGGCAGCAGUAGGGAAUCUUCGGCAAUGGACGGAAGUCUGACCGAGCAACGCCGCGUGAGUGAAGAAGGUUUUCGGAUCGUAAAGCUCUGUUGUAAGAGAAGAACGAGUGUGAGAGUGGAAAGUUCACACUGUGACGGUAGCUGACCAGAAAGGGACGGCUAACUACGUG
RNAcentral lists this ribosomal RNA (495 nucleotides) under uncultured bacterium. RNAcentral describes it as "partial 16S ribosomal RNA". It matches the Rfam family "Bacterial small subunit ribosomal RNA", at positions 28 to 507 of the family's 1533-position model. The record is from RNAcentral.